Molecule: ribosomal RNA, 488 nt
Filed under: uncultured bacterium
Lineage: Bacteria
Description: partial 16S ribosomal RNA
Rfam family: Bacterial small subunit ribosomal RNA
Source: RNAcentral
GACGAACGCUGGCGGCGUGCUUAAUACAUGCAAGUCGAACGCGCCUGUCCUCUGGGUUUCUGGGGGGUGGGUGAGUGGCGAACGGGUGAGUAACACGUGAGUAACCUGCCCCCUUCUUCGGGAUAACGGUCUGAAAGGGCUGCUAAUACCGGGUAUUCACUGGUCUCCGCAUGGGGUCUGGUGGAAAGGUUUUUUUCUGGUGGGGGAUGGGCUCGCGGCCUAUCAGCUUGUUGGUGGGGUGAUGGCCCACCAAGGCUUUGACGGGUAGCCGGCCUGAGAGGGUGACCGGUCACAUUGGGACUGAGAUCCGGCCCAGACUCCUACGGGAGGCAGCAGUGGGGAAUAUUGCACAAUGGGCGCAAGCCUGAUGCAGCGACGCCGCGUGAGGGAUGGAGGCCUUCGGGUUGUGAACCUCUUUCGCCCGUGGUCAAGCCGCGACGUGGGUCGUGGUGAGGGUAGUGGGUAAAGAAGCGCCGGCUAACUACGUG